This 1741-nucleotide long non-coding RNA is filed under the name Theobroma cacao (cacao). RNAcentral describes it as "long non-coding RNA (TCAC_LNC003955)". The record is from RNAcentral. Lineage: Eukaryota; Viridiplantae; Streptophyta; Magnoliopsida; Malvales; Malvaceae.
AACGUUAAAAAAAUUUGAGGAGUUCAUCAAAAAAGGAGUUGUGAUUCGAAAUAGAGAUUAAGCCUCCAAUUAGGUGAGUGAAUACACCUCUUUAAGUAUUUUAAUAUGUAAAGUGAGCAUGAUUUUUAUGAAAAUGAUAAUUUAGGCAUGAUAAAAUAUUGUUUCAAAUGAUUCUUUAUCAAAGAAUUUGGUUUUCAAGGUUUUCAACUAGUUUUCAAAAGUAUGAUUAAUGAAUUUAAUUUGAUGUUGACUUGUGAUGUGAGUUGACACAAAUGAUUUUCAAAUCAUUUGCGAAUCUACUAUGUAUGUAAAUACUUUACUAUGUGCUAGUUUUCAACAAGGGGGGACAAGCCCUUUUAUAUGUUUUCUCAAAAUGAGAUGAAUGGUAUGAUGUACAUGUUUGACAUGAUGUAAUAUGUAAGGUUUGGUGGGUCCAUGAGUUACCACUUAUAAGUUAAUAAAUUUCUAUGACAUGUAUGAAUAAUAUGAUGAUAUGCUUGUUGAUAUAUGAGUUGCCACUUAUGAGAUAAUGAUUGUUAUGACAUAUAUGAGUAUGAUGUCAACAUGUUGGAGGACAUAUGCAUUCCUUCCCAAGAUAAGAUUAUGAUUUAUGAGCUAAGGUAUGAAAAGUAUGCCAUGAAAUGUAUAUGUUGAGAAUUCUCAUAUACACUAUGGGCUAAGUAUGAAAUGAUGAAUGGAAAUGUGUAUGUGAUUUUAAGGCAAGUUAAGAUAAAAAUGAUCCUAUACUUGAGGAAUCCCAUAACAAUAGUGGGGAUUGAUCACUAUUCAUCUAAGAGGGGCAAGACUGCUCAAAGGUUGUGGGUGAGGCUGAUACGCCACUCACAAGAACGCAUUAAGAAUCCCAAGUAGUGAGGAUUAAAUCACUACUCACUUGAAUGAGGUGAGAACCAUUCAUAGUUAGGAGAUAUUUAUGGUUUAUAGAAAGUUUUAUGAAUUGAUGCCCACAAGUCUAUGUUUAUGAUUGAAUUUUUAUAUAUGUCAUAAUGUAUGUGAGAAUAUGGUGAAUGAAUGCUUGCUUGGUCAAAAAUCUAGCCUAAAGAAUUGUAUCAUGAGAUAAGAGGACAUGUGGCAUGCAUUUGUGCAAGAUUUUAUGCAGAAAAUUAAGUUUCAGGAUUGAUGUAUCAAUACUUAAAGGCCAUCUAUCGAUAGAUAAAAGGCAAAAUGCUAAAAGAAGCAAUAUGUGUUCCAUAUAUUGAUAGAUCCCCUUAUGCAUCGAUAGAUGCUAGAUAGAAUAGAGUUUUUAUGUGUGUUUUAAGGAUUUUUCAAAGGCAAAUGAUUUCUUAAGAGUUAUGUAAACUUGUAUUCCAUGCAAUGUUAUUUAAAAUGCAUUUAAAUACCAUGAUUCAUGAACUAUAUGGAAAUGUUGAAAGUUUUAUGAAUGGCAAGAGAUUACAAGUGCAUGGUUACGUAAAAUUCUCCCCCUUGGCUUGUCCCUUUCCUCGUAUCCACUCACAGAGUUUUUAUGACUCAAACAUUAUUUUCCUUCACUAUUUUUGUUGUAGAUUAAUGAUAACAUUUUCUUCUAGCAGUCAGUGUCAUGGACACAUGAUCCAUUCAUCUUUUGGCAAGUGAUCUAACAGCCGCAUGCAACCUCAAGGUUGAGUCAUGUUCCAUCAAGGAGUCGGUCAUAUGUUAUGUUUAUGGAUAUUGUACAUGAUUAUGAUGAUGUAGCCAAUUUUUGGCAUUUACGUUAUGAAUUUUAUGAUUAAUUAUGCAAAGG